CCUACGGGAGGCAGCAGUGAGGAAUCUUGGUCAAUGGACGAGAGUCUGAACCAGCAAAGUAGCGUGAAGGAUGACUGCCCUAUGGGUUGUAAACUUCUUUUAUAUGGGAAUAAAAUGUUCCACGUGUGGGAUUUUGUAUGUACCAUAUGAAUACGGAUCGGCUAACGCCGUGCCAGCAGCCGCGGUAAUACGGAGGAUCCGAGCGUUAUCCGGAUUUAUUGGGUUUAAAGGGAGCGUAGGUGGAUUGUUAAGUCAGUUGUGAAAGUUUGCGGCUCAACCGUAAAAUUGCAGUUGAAACUGGCAGUCUUGAGUACAGUAGAGGUAGGCGGAAUUCGUGGUGUAGCGGUGAAAUGCUUAGAUAUCACGAAGAACUCCGAUUGCGAAGGCAGUUCACUGGACUGCAACUGACACUGAGGCUCGAAAGUGUGGGUAUCAAACAGGAUUAGAUACCCGAGUAGUC
This 460-nucleotide ribosomal RNA is filed under the name uncultured bacterium. RNAcentral's name for it is "partial 16S ribosomal RNA". It matches the Rfam family "Bacterial small subunit ribosomal RNA", at positions 338 to 795 of the family's 1533-position model. The record is from RNAcentral.